GAUGAAGAACGUAGUGAAAUGCGAUAAGUAAUGUGAAUUGCAGAAUUCAGUGAAUCAUCGAAUCUUUGAACGCACAUUGCGCCCGCCAGUAUUCUGGCGGGCAUGCCUGUUCGAGCGUCAUUACAACCCUCAGGCCCCCGGGCCUGGCGUUGGGGAUCGGCGGAGCCCCCCGUGGGCACACGCCGUCCCCCAAAUGCAGUGGCGGUCCCGCCGCGGCUUCCAUCGCGUAGUAGCUAACACCUCGCGACUGGAGAGCGGCGCGGCCACGCCGUAAAACACCCAACUCUUCUGAAGUUGACCUCGAAUCAGGUAGGAAUACCCGCUGAACUUAAGCAUAUCAAUAAGCGGAGGA
Molecule: unclassified non-coding RNA, 352 nt
Filed under: soil metagenome
Description: partial contains 5.8S ribosomal RNA, internal transcribed spacer 2, and large subunit ribosomal RNA
Rfam family: 5.8S ribosomal RNA (bases 1-120)
Source: RNAcentral